Molecule: ribosomal RNA, 328 nt
Filed under: uncultured eukaryote
Lineage: Eukaryota
Description: partial 18S ribosomal RNA
Rfam family: Eukaryotic small subunit ribosomal RNA
Source: RNAcentral
CCCUUAGAUGUUCUGGGCCGCACGCGCGUUACACUGAUGCAUUCAACGAGCUUAUAACCUUGGCCGAGAGGCCUGGGCAAUCUUGUUAACGUGCAUCGUGAUAGGGAUAGAUUAUUGAAAUUAUUAAUCUUGAACGAGGAAUUCCUGGUAAACGCAGAUCAUCAAUCUGCAUUGAUUACGUCCCUGCCCUUUGUACACACCGCCCGUCGCACCUACCGAUUGGAUGGUCCGGUGAAGCCUCGGGAUUGUGGUUCUUGCCGCUUUAUUGUGGCGUGACCGCGAGAACUUGUCUAAACCUUAUCAUCUAGAGGAAGGUGAAGUCGUAACA